AGACUGCUGAGGAGUCCCACAAUAGGAGGAAAUGGCCGUCUAGUGC
Molecule: non-coding RNA, 46 nt
Filed under: Schistosoma mansoni
Lineage: Eukaryota; Metazoa; Platyhelminthes; Trematoda; Strigeidida; Schistosomatidae
Source: RNAcentral